This is a long non-coding RNA of Setaria italica (foxtail millet), 657 nucleotides long. RefSeq lists it as uncharacterized. The transcript has 2 exons. NCBI's taxonomy places the organism in Eukaryota, Viridiplantae, Streptophyta, Magnoliopsida, Poales, Poaceae. The record is from RefSeq and is a predicted model, not a curated record.
CAUUUUUCUCUUGCCGAUCCAGUUUUCUGUUCAGAAUGUUGUGCAUUGACCAUUUCGCGCCAUUGUUACAUUUAAGCGGAAUUUGGUGCCGUGAAUUAAAAAAUCCUAUCCCCUUUGAGGAAGUAGAUAGGGUUCAAAAGAUUGCAUUUUUUCGGCAUCUUGUUCUGUCCUGCUCAGAUGUAGGUUCUAUUAUGAGUUAAAAAAGAAAGUGUCAAUUAUAUCAAGUUUUAAAUAGGAUUCUCAACAAAAAAAUCUUGUAAAAGAACGAUCUUUUGACUGAUUGUCAUUCAAAUUUGCAUUGUUACCAUUUUUUUUGUCUCUUUAGGUGUGAAGUAAAAAGUUUACAAGGUCGCUUGAGUAUUUUGCCUGUUGGUUGUGUGUUUUGCCAUGGUCAACUAAAAUGUAAGUGAACAAGGCAAAGACGAUGGCUUUGAGCAACAGGUGCUUUGGUCAAGGUCAUUUCGGAAGAUUGGAUUUUCAAUUGGUCUUGUGAAAGGACUUGUGAAGCUCAGAGAAAGUAGAGAAAGGGGCAAGGCCAAGGUUCAGUUGUACCCAGUUAAGUGGAUUGCUGGCCUGCUGCUAGGGAAACAUGUAUUUCAGCCUUACUUGCUGAGCUUACAUUAUGUUCCGAUGGAGGAUGUUUGUUUGAAUAUUUUA